Molecule: ribosomal RNA, 459 nt
Filed under: uncultured bacterium
Lineage: Bacteria
Description: partial 16S ribosomal RNA
Rfam family: Bacterial small subunit ribosomal RNA
Source: RNAcentral
CCUACGGUGGGCAGCAGUGAGGAAUAUUGGUCAAUGGGCGGGAGCCUGAACCAGCCAAGCCGCGUGAGGGAAGAAGGUACAGCGUAUCGUACACCUCUUUUGUCAGGGCACAAAGGCGGGGACUAGUCCCCGGAUGAGGGUACCUGAAGAAAAAGCAUCGGCUAACUCCGUGCCAGCAGCCGCGGUAAUACGGAGGAUGCGAGCGUUAUCCGGAUUGAUUGGGGUUAAAGGGUGCGCAGGCGGCCUGUUCAGGCAGCGUUAAAAGCCCGGGGCGCAACCCCGGCGCGCCGUUGAAACUGGCGGGUUGGAGUUGGAGAGAAGUACGCGGAAUGCGCGGUGUAGCGGUGAAAUGCUUAGAUAUCGCGCAGAACCCCGAUUGCGAAGGCAGCGUACCGGCUCCACACUGACGCUGAGGCACGAAAGCGUGGGUAUCGAACAGGAUUAGAUACCCUGGUAGUC